AACGAACGCUGGCGGCAGGCUUAACACAUGCAAGUCGAACGCUCCGCAAGGAGAGUGGCAGACGGGUGAGUAACACGUGGGAACGUACCCUUUACUACGGAACAACUCCGGGAAACUGGAGCUAAUACCGUAUGUGCCCUUUGGGGGAAAGAUUUAUCGGUAAAGGAUCGGCCCGCGUUGGAUUAGCUAGUUGGUGGGGUAAAGGCCUACCAAGGCGACGAUCCAUAGCUGGUCUGAGAGGAUGAUCAGCCACAUUGGGACUGAGACACGGCCCAAACUCCUACGGGAGGCGGCAGUGGGGAAUAUUGGACAAUGGGCGCAAGCCUGAUCCAGCCAUGCCGCGUGUGUGAUGAAGGCCUAGGGUUGUAAAGCACUUUCACCGGAGAAGAUAAUGACGGUAUCCGGAGAAGAAGCCCCGGCUAACUACGUGCCAGCCGCCGCGGUAA
RNAcentral lists this ribosomal RNA (446 nucleotides) under uncultured bacterium. Its description in RNAcentral is "partial 16S ribosomal RNA". It matches the Rfam family "Bacterial small subunit ribosomal RNA", at positions 29 to 523 of the family's 1533-position model. The record is from RNAcentral.